This is a long non-coding RNA of Passer domesticus (house sparrow), 6515 nucleotides long. RefSeq lists it as uncharacterized. The transcript is spliced from 4 exons. The record is from RefSeq and is a predicted model, not a curated record. NCBI's taxonomy places the organism in Eukaryota, Metazoa, Chordata, Aves, Passeriformes, Passeridae.
UGUGCUCUGCCUGCGCCCGGGGUGCUGCAGGGAGCAGCGGGGCAGAGAGGUCAGGUCCCACCUAAAGUGCUGGGCCCGCAGUCUUUAGCUACACAGGGAGGAUUUCUGUGCAUUAUUUUAGGAUGAUCAGGCAUUGGAAUAAAUUGCCCAGGGAAGUGGUGGUAACACCAACCGUGGAUGUGUUCAGGAGGCACCUGGAUGUGGCACUGAUGUGAUUUAGGAGCGACAGUGGCGCUCUGAUGCUCGGACUGACGGCUGAUGCUCUGAUCUAGACGGUCUUUUCCAACCUUCAUGAUCCUAUACUUCUGUAAUUGCAGUGUAUGGGCAUUCUUUUCCUCUUCCCAGAGCUGUCUGGGGCAUGGCAUCAGCAGCCCCUAUGUACUGCAUGCCCUUGCACUGUGGCUGUGUUGUAUGGUGCUGUGCUGUGUGCCAGCUGAGUGCUUAUGAACAGCCUCCUUGUGAGCUGAACACCAAACAAUGGACAUCAAAAGGGACAGCUAAUUUUGGGUGCCCAACUGAAGACUUCAGGGUCCCACAGUUCCACAGUGGGGUCUGCUGUAUAUUGUGUAGAGUUUCCUUAAUUCUGAGCAAUGCCUCUUUGCAGGUGUCUGCCCCUGAAACUUUUGUGACUUCAGAGAAUAGAUAUUCUAUUUCAGAGAACAGACUUAACAAAGGAGAAAAAUUCACUGGCGAUCUUCAGAAAUUGGGCUCAAGUGACUUCCUCACACCAAAAGAAGGUUAUAGAUUAUAAUGUGUUCUAUCUUUACCAUCAGUGACAUCCAUUCCUUCUAUAUCUUCGAGGCUUUGUUGCAACAAAGCAGGCAAAGUUUUGAGGAGAAAACUGACUUAUUGACUACAUUCAUGUUGAAAUUGAGGGUGCUACAUUUCUUAUCUUUGGAAAUACAAGAUACAAAUCACUUAAUUUAGUUGCAUUAUUUAAAGAUAAUUGCAUUGAAGGAUACUACUGUAAAAGAAGAUGCAAGUAGAAAACAAUCCCAUCACAAAGAAAGAUGUCCAGGAAAGCACAAUAUAACUCUUGCAGUUACGAGGGAGAAGCUGAUGAAGAGGAACACACCUGUUUUUCAAUAAUAACAACAUGUUUAUUGUUCUGACACCUGAGACAACUCCAAAACUCUAAAAGGUACUGUCCUAAGGAAGAGCUUUGACUGUGGAAUCACCAACGCCUGGACAUGCUGUGGUAUCUCAUAAGGGGCUUCUCCCAAUGGAGAGGGGAAAAACUAGAAUAGGGAAAACCUGUAAGAACUGGAAAGGAUCAGUGGCAAAUGUUACAGAGGAGAAUCAUCCUACAAGUUUCACAUACUAUAAAUGUUCAGAUUUGCUACAUCGGGAGUCCUGCCGGAACAUCUGAUUUUCAGCUUUGUAUCUGUUUCCACAGUAAAACACCAAAACUUCAGCUUACAUUUUCACCUGCACAAUCAUCUAAUAGAUACACUUUCCAUCUACCCUAUAAUUUUUUCUCUUUCUCUGUUCCUCUCUUGGAACUUGUUCAGACCUAUUCUCUAGCCAAAAGUGGGUGGGUUUCUUUCCCUUCAGUGUACUCCUCUUUGCAUUUCUUUUUGCUUUCUCGCCACCUUUCUAUGUGUCAGCCUUGUUCCAUUUCUUCUCCCCGGUGGCAUUCAGAACUCCUGCUACUUUCGUACACUCUCACCAUUUUAAGCUGCUUUCCCACAUGCUGCCUUUCACGGAACACCUUCCAUCCACUGAUUUCCAAAGCACAGAUGCUUGUUCGCUUUCCAUGAUGGCAACAACAGCUCUAAAGGAAACAUAUCGUUUCCCCUCCUGCAAUUCAUGCGCAAAUGCCUGGCAUGUGCUGCCUGGAGAAAGCCUUUCAACUUUGAAUUUCCUUGCUUUUGUGGAAUCUGUGAAAAAGUCUGAUAAAUUACAGCUUUGGCAGUUAUUUCAAAUAACUUUAUUUGCAGCCAGCUGAGGCAAAAUCUGUCAAUGGUGCCAUCCCCGUGUUCUUUCAAAGGUUGUUGGUGUUUCAUGAGGGAGCUCAAAGUCAAGCUGGUUCAAAGGGAGGCUCCCAUUUCAUUUUUUUCCAAGAAGGGUAGCUUACACGUUCUAAUGGUGACAGGACUGUCUUACAAGACAUAGGAGCUGAGUUCUAGUUGAGGCCAUGAGUCUCUUCCAGUACAUGUGUUUUGUCACUUUAUCUCUCACCUGAUGACUGCUCAUCUGUGAAACAGCUGUAGUACUCACUGGUAGCUGCCGUAUUAGUUAAAUACAAACAAGAAGACCCCAACUAAUCAAGGUGUCAAGGUUUUGGAGUCGGCCUUGGACCUGGUUUUAGUGUUGGCAGUUUGGGCAAGGCCUGUGAACCUCGGUCUGCAGCUCCUCUCCCCAGGGCUCAAGAGACACCAGCUGGGACACACAGCGUGCAGCAGGCAACUUCUCACAUUGUCCCGAGGGCCAAGAGGAAGAAAUAAUACAGAGCCUUUGCUUUGCAGGCAACUGGUGUCUGAGCUUGGAGGAUUGGUGGUUCACCUUGGGACCUUCAGUGAUACUCAGAAUAAACACCAGCAUGGCAAGGUUUGCCAUGUGAGUGAGCAGGACUUCAGUGCACACUAAUUGAAAUAAGCAUGGUAUUCCUGACCCUCUACUCCCAGAAGCUCUCCAAAGCUGAAGUCUUGUGGGAAGCCUUUGCUGAGCCAUCUGGGUGGAUGGAAGCUGUAUGUGGCUGUCUCCCAUUACACCCUCUGGUGACCUGAAAACGAGUGGUGAGAACAUGUCAAUUCUGCUUUAACCAGUAGCACUGUGAAAAGAAAUCGAUAACCACACUUGACUUCAAGAAUCUUGGAUGGAGAAGGACUAUCAUCUUUUAAGGCAAAAGAUCUUGCCUGUGUAGAGAAGGAUUCUCAGGACUGUCUUUGAGCAAAAUCUACUUAUGGUAAGAGAUAUAGAUUAUUAUCGUUAAUGUUACAUGCAUGAUUUAAUUAGGAAAAGCCACACAGUUCAUGAAAACAAAAUAUUUCCAGCUAAUAGUAUUACUAAUUACCUAAAAGAUCAUGAAUCAAAACAAAUUUAAUAAGAUGCAGGAGAAAAGGCUGACAAGAAUCUCAUGAAUUUCAGCAAAGACAUGUGAAAUCCUGCAUGCAGAUCAGAACAAUAUUUGUAGUAACAAAGCUGGGGAAGCAGCUAAAAAGCAGCUUUGCAGGGAAGGCCCUGGGGACCCUGAUAUUCAACAACCUGAACAUGAGCCAGCAGUGCAGCCUUGCAGCAAAGAUGGCCGGGGUGCAUUAGGAAGAGCACUGCUGGCAGGUUAAUGGAUGUGAUCCUUCCUCUCUACUCAGCCCUGGUGAGACUCACCUGGACUGCUGGGUCAAGGUCUGAGCUCCACCAUGUCACAGAGACAUGGACACACUGGAACAAGGACAGUGGAAGGCCAUGGAGAUGAUACCGGGACUGAAGCAUCUGGGUUUGAGAGGCUGAGAGAUUUGGGAUUGUUUAGCAAGGAGAAGAGAAGGCUCAGGGAAGAUAUGAUCAAUGUGUAUAAGUACCGGGAUAUGGAGAGACAAGUAGAAAAGAUAGAACCAGGCCUUUUUCAGUGAUAGGAGAAGAGGCACAUGGGCACAAAUCGAAGUACACCAAAUUCCAUGUAAACAUAAGAAAAAGGUUGGGUUUUUUUACUAUGAAUGUGGUCAAACGCUGGAAGAGGCAGCCCAGAGGUGCUAUGGAGCCUUCAUAGUUACUCAAAACAUGACUGGACACAGAACCAACCUGCUCUGCUUUGAGCAGGGAGGUUGGACUGUGUGAUCUCCAGAUGUCCCUUCCAAUCCCAGCAAUUCUUUGAUUUGCUAAAUACGUGCCCCAUUCCAGUCCUGAAUAUAUCUCUGUUAUGCAUGCCCAAGAUGCGUUUGGAUUUUUUGACAGACUUUUCACCACAUCAAUGUGAAGGCAUUGCCAUUGUAUAUUAGGAUGUGUAAAAUCAAUGUAAAUAUAACUGAGAAGAUCAAGAGAUUGAAUCACAUGUCGUGUAGGAUUCUGGGGGAUGCUGGCAGGAAAACAAGCAUUGCAGCAGAAGAGUAAUUGUCAAAUAACGACAUGUCAAAGCUCAACUUUUACCAACUCUAAAUCAUUUAGUAUAGAUCAGUGUAGUUACCUUGACAUAUUUCUUUGGGUCCUGGAAAGAAAUGAAUAACCUGCUGUAUCUUGUAUAUGCAAUGCAGGGGGUAAUUUGGACAAAAUGAUGUAAUGUUUUUGAAAACAUGACAAGAAAAUUAAGGAUGAAGAAACUCCAGAAUGACUUUAUGAAUGAAAAGAACCUGCAAUUGCUUUCCAUCCCUUGACAGACGUUACUUAAACUGACAUACUAUAUCAUGCAACAAAGCUUACAGGGGAAAUAUGAGAUUAUGAGAAAAUGUAUAAACCACUAUCAUUAUUGUAAAAAAUUCUCAGAGAGACAAGAAAAAGUAGGGAUACUUUUUAGGAGGAACUUGAUGUAGAGUAUUGUACCAGUAUUUUCAGAAUUAGCAAAAUUAAUCUAUUAAAAAAAUUAGGUUAAAAAGAAGUGAGAACUUUCUGCUGUAUCCCAAUCCCACACAAUCGUUCCCCCUCUUCUCCUGCCAUUGUAGCAUCUGGGAAACCUGCCUAUUUUUUAAAGUAAAAUCAAGAAGAUUCUCUCCUGCCUUCUUCUGUAUGGAGAAGUAACAUAAGCAGAAGGGGAGGAAACAGUCAUUGUCAAGAAAUGGUACAUGAAGAAAUGGAUAUGCCUUGGCUUUAGACAUUCUCAGUUCACCUUACAGGGAGGUUUACAGCUGUUGCAGAGAGUACAAGUCUCCACUCCUCACUGGUUUUGCUUCUGACAUUGACAGUUUCCUACUUUUGAUGUGUGUAAAAAAACAGGGGCACAGCAUACACAGAGUUAGGAGGGUGCCUCAGUACCUCAGACCUUCUCCAAAGCAGCCUUUGGACAUCAGCAUUUUAGGUGUCAGCCACAAUGAAAGAAGAAACCCUCAAGAAAGUAGGGCUUAGUAUAUACUUUUACCAACCUGUGUGACAGAGCAAAUAGAGCACCAUUUUGGACCAAAUGAAAUUUUAAAAAAUUCACAAAAUCUCUUUUUAAAAUAUUGAUUCCAUUUUGAGGUAGAGACCUUAGCUGUAAUGAAGCUGCAAACCCAUAGUUUGUCACAGCCAAGUUCAAGUCUGGUAUAAUGUGUUUUUCGCUCAUCCAUAGGUCCUUUAUUUUUCUCUACCUGAUUUUUGGCAUUGCAUCCAAUAUGAAAGCAUGACAGAAGAGUCACUGAAUAACCAGAGUGGAUAGACAGAGUGUAGCAGUAGACAGAUGAUAAAGAUUUUUCCCCACAGUCAAUACUAGUGUCCGGGACCUAUUUUUUAUUAAUUUGUUUUUUAAUGCAUUGCUACCUUAUAAAAGGGUGAAUAUUGAUUGAUUUUUAAUAGCAUGGAUGUUCUCUUGUGCUAAAGACUUCUUCUUGGUUACUUUUGUUCUAAAGAACAUGAGAAAAUAAGCAAGAAACAUAAAGGCAUUUUAACAGGACACUUGGAAGUAUUUAACAAAGAAUCAUAGAAAAAGGUUAACUUUUCUUUCUGUUUAUCAAAUUAUGUGAGGAUUCAGGCCCAAAAAGAGCAAUUAUUAUUAAUAAUUUAAUAAGUUAAAUAAAGUUUCUCCCUUUUUGCCAGAAGUUUCAAAAAACAUUAACAGUGUUAAAGGACUGUCUUGCCAUUAAUUCAUACAGAUUUGACACUGAUACCCUAAAGCAGCACCAAAAAAAAAAUUCAUCAAUAUUAAAAUAUCUCCAAACAUUUACAGAUAUUUGUAUUUGGAAAGCCGCCACUACUCCCAUUUCAACUGCCAUACCGAGUCUGCUUUGCAAAAGCUACCUCUUGACAUUUUGCAGAACAGCCUCUAAUCGUCUAAGGAAGCUCUGGAUUGAGAUUAGUAUCCACAGCAGAAAGGAAUCUACAGACACUACUGUGUGCAGUAAUGCUGUGGGCGUUCGUCCAAGCUCAGGAACGAGUGGAAUGUACCCCUUCUCCAAGGUGAAAGACUGCAUAGACAUAUGUUUUCCACGGUGACUGGCAUUAGCUGAUGGAGAGCUGACAACACCUUGGCAAGCAGGGAAUAAUAAGUGCCCCCAGAGCGCCGUUCGCUUGUUGCUGUCGCCUUCUAAAACCUUUCGCUUUGAAGCCGUCGUGCUGCUUACAUAUUUAGCAGCUGGAAAAAUCAGGCCUGCUUGUUUACCUCGUCCUCCCCAGCAGGAAAAAUGCCGAGAAGAAAUAGCUCAUUAAUAAUAUUAAAGAGACUUAAGCAUUAAUAAAGGCCAAAAUGAAGAACUUGGAGCAAAGUGUUUCUUUAGUGUUACCUAAAAAGCAGCUCUGGUGUGUGGAUAGGUCCCCUUUUAAAACAUUUAAACAUUAAUAAAUUGGACUAUGAACAAUAGAAUAUAAAUGAAACCUGGGGUGAUUUAUUUUAGGCAACUCAUUUGCCCAUGUAAUUUUAUGAACGAUACUUAUUUUUCAGAAGUCCAAAUUACUGU